Long non-coding RNA from Cyprinus carpio (common carp), 1235 nucleotides. RefSeq lists it as uncharacterized. Lineage: Eukaryota; Metazoa; Chordata; Actinopteri; Cypriniformes; Cyprinidae. The transcript is spliced from 13 exons. The record is from RefSeq and is a predicted model, not a curated record.
ACUUCAAACUUCCCUCUCCAUUAUAUGAUUCUCCACUCCAGAUCUGUUUUUAUAAAGCAGCACAAAACCGAUAAGAAGGUUUGUGCAUCAAAACCCAAUAUCUACUGUCCAAUCUACUCUCAAAACAUUUCUGCAAUACACUACAUGUGAAACUUCCUUCUCCAAUAUUUGAUUCUCUAUGCCAUGAACUGUUUUUAUGAAGAGGCACAUAACCGAUAAAAAGGUUUGCGCAUCAAAACCCAAUAUCUACGGUCCACUACUAUCAAAAGAUUUCUGCAAUACGCUACACUUCAAACUUCCCUCUCCAUUAUAUGAUUCUAAGCUCCAUGAUCUGUUUUUAUGAAGCGGCACAAAAACCAAUAAAAAGGUUUGUGCAUCAAAAUCCAAUAUCUACUGUCCACUACUCUCAAAAGAUUUCUGCAAUACGCUACUUCAAACUUCCCUCUCCAUUAUGAUUCUCCACUCCAUGAUCUGUUUUUAUGAAGUGGCACAAAACCAAUAAAAAGGUUUGUGCAUCAAAAUCCAAUAUCUAGUGUCCACUACAAUCAAAAGAUUUCUGCAAUAGCUACACUUCAAACUUCCUCCAUAUCCAUUAUGAUUCUCCGCUCCAUGAACUGUUUUUAUGAAGCUGCGCAAAACUGAUAAAAAGAUUUCUGCAAUAUGCUACACUUCAAACUUCCUUCUCCAUUAUGAUUCUCUGCUCCAUGAACUUUUUAUGAAGCAGCACAAAACUGAUAAAAAGUUUUGUGCAGCAUAGCUCAACUACUGUCCUCUACUCUCAAAAGCUACGGUUGAAACUUCCUCCUUAUCAAUUAUAUGAUUCUCCACUCUAUGAAGAAGUGCACAACCGAUAAAAAAAGUGAAUACAAAACCAUUGUCAACUACCAAUUCAGAAAAUCUCACAGCAAAACUCUAAACUGAUGCAGGCAGUCAAUAGUCAAAGAUAUCACAAAUGCAUAACCACAAAAGUAACACAAUUAUAUAUGAAAUGUUGGAUGGAUGGCUUGUAUUAUAUUUAGUCUAUGUACAGCAAAUUUCGAUAUGUGCCAGCCAAAGGAGGAUGGCUUGCCCCUGCUGAGUCUGGUUCCUCCCAAGGUUUCUCCCUAUACCUCUCUGCUGAUGAUGCUCCUCUUCACUAAUUUAGGGAGUUUUUCCUUGCCACUGUUGCCUUCUGGCUUGCUCACUGGGGUAUUAAUAUUUUCAAUGUAAACUGUGUAAAGUGUUUGUAAAGAAUA